GACUCUCGGCAACGGAUAUCUCGGCUCUCGCAUCGAUGAAGAACGUAGCGAAAUGCGAUACUUGGUGUGAAUUGCAGAAUCCCGUGAACCAUCGAGUCUUUGAACGCAAGUUGCGCCCCAAGCCGUCAGGCCGAGGGCACGUCUGCCUGGGUGUCA
RNAcentral lists this ribosomal RNA (156 nucleotides) under Cedrela fissilis. Its description in RNAcentral is "5.8S ribosomal RNA". It matches the Rfam family "5.8S ribosomal RNA". Rfam says of the family: 5.8S ribosomal RNA (5.8S rRNA) is a component of the large subunit of the eukaryotic ribosome. It is transcribed by RNA polymerase I as part of the 45S precursor that also contains 18S and 28S rRNA. Lineage: Eukaryota; Viridiplantae; Streptophyta; Magnoliopsida; Sapindales; Meliaceae. RNAcentral also lists the same sequence under 2 other names. The record is from RNAcentral.